This is a long non-coding RNA of Hemicordylus capensis (graceful crag lizard), 514 nucleotides long. RefSeq lists it as uncharacterized. Lineage: Eukaryota; Metazoa; Chordata; Lepidosauria; Squamata; Cordylidae. The record is from RefSeq and is a predicted model, not a curated record. The transcript is spliced from 3 exons.
GUGUCCGGGCUGCAAGCAGCCGGGGCUGGCAGACGACUGAAGAAACAAGGUCAAGGGAGUGAUUAUUCCCUUAACCUCAUUUUGAAGGCGGGCUCCCUAAGUGAUUUUGCUGCUGCACCACCACUGGGAGCCAAGUGGCUUCUGACAAUUUUCACAUGCAGGAGAAACCGGGCUGGGCUUCCUGAGGCCAGUUUUGCCUGCGUGUGAGAACAGCUUCAGUGAAUUGUAUUGCUUCUACUUCCUCUUUCUCCAGCUGUGAAAGGAGUGUACAACUAGGUGUAAGGGAUGGAAAAAUGUUACACUGCAUCCAUCUCAGACAAUUCAAAAGCAGGAAGAAAAGAAAAAGAUAGGAGAAAGGACAUCAUCAGUAGCCACUAGAUGGAAAUUAUAAUUUUUCAGUAUUGCUCAGCAGGUAUAACGACAAACCACAAGCUACUUUCUCCUCCAAGAAGUUGCACACCAGGCAGCAAACUUCCACACAAAAUGCACAGAAGAUACAUACCUUACAAAACAG